GACGAACGCUGGCGGUGUGCUUAACACAUGCAAGUCGAACGAGAGCGUUUCCUUCGGGAAACUAGUAAAGUGGCGCAAGGGUGAGUAACACGUGAAUAAUCUGCCCUCAAGAUCGGGAUAACUUGGCGAAAGCUAGGCUAAUACCGGAUAAGACCACAUUUCACAAGAAAUGCGGGAAAAGAAGUCUCAAUCUUUACUUGAGGAUGAGUUCGCGGACCAUUAGCUUGUUGGUGAGAUAAAAGCUCACCAAGGCUACGAUGGAUAGCGGCCUGAGAGGGCGAUCGGCCACACUGGAACUGAGACACGGUCCAGACUCCUACGGGAGGCAGCAGUGGGGAAUAUUGCGCAAUGGGCGGAAGCCUGACGCAGCAAACAACCGUGUGAGCGAAUG
RNAcentral lists this ribosomal RNA (391 nucleotides) under uncultured Nitrospina sp. RNAcentral's name for it is "bacterial SSU rRNA". It matches the Rfam family "Bacterial small subunit ribosomal RNA", at positions 28 to 411 of the family's 1533-position model. The record is from RNAcentral. Lineage: Bacteria; Pseudomonadati; Nitrospinota; Nitrospinia; Nitrospinales; Nitrospinaceae.